RNAcentral lists this long non-coding RNA (253 nucleotides) under Elaeis guineensis (African oil palm). RNAcentral's name for it is "long non-coding RNA (EGUI_LNC031953)". The record is from RNAcentral. Lineage: Eukaryota; Viridiplantae; Streptophyta; Magnoliopsida; Arecales; Arecaceae.
UGUUGAUAUGAUCGUAUUUAGUUGAAUUUUUAAUGAGCCUAAUUAUUUAAUUCUGAUUUUUUAAGAUCAAUAAUAUUUUAUAAAAAUUAUUAAUUAAUUUUUUGGAUCAUUUCUUUAGGCCACGUGUGUGGGUGCGUGGUGGGCCAAUUGGGCCUAAUUUUUGGGCUCACUACUCCAUGAACUAUGAUCCAUAACCCUAAAUGAUUAGUCCUGGAUUUUGGGCUUAGUUAGAAUAAGUUUUUAAUUUUAUUUU